UCAGGAUGAACGCUGGCGGCGUGCCUAACACAUGCAAGUCGAGCGAUUCUCUUCGGAGAAGAGCGGCGGACGGGUGAGUAACGCGUGGGUAACCUGCCUCAUACACAUGGAUAACAUACCGAAAGGUAUGCUAAUACAGGAUAACAUAAGAGAUUCACAUGGAUUUCUUAUCAAAGCUCCGGCGGUAUGAGAUGGACCCGCGUCUGAUUAGCUAGUUGGUAAGGUAACGGCUUACCAAGGCGACGAUCAGUAGCCGACCUGAGAGGGUGAUCGGCCACAUUGGAACUGAGACACGGUCCAAACUCCUACGGGAGGCAGCAGUGGGGAAUAUUGCACAAUGGGCGAAAGCCUGAUGCCAGCAACGCCGCGUGAGUGAUGAAGGCCUUCGGGUCGUAAAACUCUGUCCUCAAGGAAGAUAAUGACGGUACUUGAGGAGGAAGCCCCGGCUAACUACGUGCCAGCAGCCGC
This 468-nucleotide ribosomal RNA is filed under the name uncultured bacterium. RNAcentral's name for it is "bacterial SSU rRNA". It matches the Rfam family "Bacterial small subunit ribosomal RNA", at positions 24 to 518 of the family's 1533-position model. The record is from RNAcentral.